GCUAGGCACAGUGUUGUGUGCCUGUAAUCCCAGUGACUUGGAAGCCUGAGGCAAGAGGUUCGCAAAUUUGAGGCCAGACUCAGCAACUUAGUGAGAACCUGUCUCAA
Molecule: small RNA, 107 nt
Filed under: Marmota monax (woodchuck)
Lineage: Eukaryota; Metazoa; Chordata; Mammalia; Rodentia; Sciuridae
Source: RNAcentral